This is a long non-coding RNA of Neogale vison (American mink), 488 nucleotides long. RefSeq lists it as uncharacterized. The record is from RefSeq and is a predicted model, not a curated record. The transcript has 3 exons. NCBI's taxonomy places the organism in Eukaryota, Metazoa, Chordata, Mammalia, Carnivora, Mustelidae.
CACCUGCUCACAGCAGCUCCUCAAGGAGGAAACGGAGUCUUGGCAGAGUAAUUAAUUUUUCCAAGAAACCACCGAAGCUGGAGCGCUUGGACACACGGAGACUGCCCGGAAGUUUACCGGAGAUCCUUGUGUCUUUCACGUGCCUCCGUCCUGAUUCCCGAGGAUAGCCACCGCCGCUGUCCGGUGGGAGUCCCUUCCUGCCAGCACCGGCUAGGUAAUCGUGCAAAACGAAAAGGUGGGCCCCAGGUUCAAAAAUAAUGAAGAUUUUCAAGAUGGCACAGCAGACCAGUAGUGGAGCGUGGGGCCCUUCUGAGUGUGGGGGGCUGUGUCGCGGCACGGACCUCAUACCACUAAGGCUAGCUCUGCUUCCUGGUUUGCUUCUUCAGUGCAUUCCCCAAAUAUGUUCAGGUCUUUAACUGUGUACAAAAAGCCAGCCUCGGGGCGCCUGGGUGGCUCAGUGGGUUAAAGCCUCUGCCUUCGGCUUGGGU